GCUAAUAGAAUGCCUGGGGAGGAGAGAAGGAAGGAAUUCUUCCUGAGGAAAGCUUUCAAGCUGAAGAUGAAUCUCAAGGGAGGUUAAAAUGCUUGCAUGGUGGUAAGCCCAGCCUCAAUCUUGAUUGGACUGCAACACCCUUGAGAAGACACAAUAAUGAAAUGGAAGAAACCUUACUCUCUACUUUAGACAGAUGCCAUGUUGAAGACAGGUGGACUGUUGUCCCUCAAUAAGCAAACUGACUAUACAUCGCUUGCUAUUUGGAAAUGAAUUAACAUAUUCAACACAUCACUGAGUAAAGUGAAAGUCAUCUUCAUUAAAUGAGGGAAAUAUGGGUUGUCAUCCUAACUCAUCAGAGCAACAUUUCAUGGAACCACAUGAAGACUAAUGCUAUGAUAAUGUGUCUAUUACAUGCUACCUUGAGGGGAAAAUCCAUUUAUGAUCCUGGACAUAUUUGAACCUUUCUAUGCCUUGCUGUCCAUGUGAAAAUGAAGUCUUCUAUAUAGUUGCUCCUGGAUAUAAGGAUUGUCAGCCUGUCCUCCUUAAAUCUGUUGGCUCCUGGCCCUAACUCCAUUCUUGCAUGACAGAGUGUGGAACAAGGAGCAGAAGUUCUGCAGGGGAGGCUGAGGACCACCCAGACCUUAUUCACUCGUCCUUCCCCUUCCACCCCCAGGAUGUCCAUACCCUACAGCUGCCAGCUUUAAUAAAGGACAAUGCACAACAUCCAAUCACAUUUGAAUGUCAGAUAAACAAUGAAUAAUUUUAUAGCACAAGUGCUAUAGCACAAAUAUUUGUGACAUAUCUAUAAUAAAAUUAUUUGGUUUUUUAGAUGAAAUUCAAAUUUAACUGGAUGUCCCGUAUUUUAUCUGACACCCCUCUCAUGCAGCCCAAAUUCAUUCAAAGAAUCUGUUGCAAGAAGAAAACAAUUGCUUUUAACCUCUUUCCCAUUAUCUUCCUCACUCACACAGAAUGGCAGAAGUCCCCAGUGUAGUUUUUACUUCGUUUUUAUACUUCCAUAUUAUGCCAUCAAUGUAAAUCACCAGAUAAAUCUGCCAUGCUUUUAUUUCUACUGUGGAGUCACAUGUGACUAGAGUUGUUAGGAUCUAUAUCCACAAACUAUGGCGGAAUUCUUUAACAGUCAAAAAUACCC
This is a long non-coding RNA of Mustela erminea (ermine), 1150 nucleotides long. RefSeq lists it as uncharacterized. The record is from RefSeq and is a predicted model, not a curated record. Lineage: Eukaryota; Metazoa; Chordata; Mammalia; Carnivora; Mustelidae. The transcript has 6 exons.